UUUCCACGAAUCCCUUUAAACAAACCGUAUAAACGUUUGCCUAAGAGAACACCUUCUCAAAAAGUGGAGCCAUCUUCAAUAUGUUACCACAUUGCGCUUUUCACACUGCUGUCAUAUUGGUGGGAAUUCUGUUUCCUCUAUUUCUGCUGGAAUAUGGAGGGUUUUCACCUGCUCUGGGAUUUCCUGUUGCUGGACCAAGUCCGGGAAGACAUCCGUAUGAAUCUGUUAGACCAGUGUUUACAACUCGGAGCACAACUCGUUCAACAACUCGAAGCACUACAAGGCGGUCCACACCUCCAAGUUGCUGGAGACAUUUUGGAAGAUAAAACAUCGGCAAGGUAUGAGGGGAAAUUACUGAUUCAUUGAGCCGGAUCACAUGGUAUGGGUGUCGACCGAGAUACAAAUCGCCUAUUUGCAAAUGAAUAAAAUAGUCAAUAAAGUAUUUUCUUGUUUGA
Rhipicephalus sanguineus (brown dog tick) is the source of this 455-nucleotide long non-coding RNA. RefSeq lists it as uncharacterized. The record is from RefSeq and is a predicted model, not a curated record. The transcript is spliced from 2 exons. Lineage: Eukaryota; Metazoa; Arthropoda; Arachnida; Ixodida; Ixodidae.